RNAcentral lists this ribosomal RNA (406 nucleotides) under uncultured bacterium. Its description in RNAcentral is "partial 16S ribosomal RNA". It matches the Rfam family "Bacterial small subunit ribosomal RNA", at positions 30 to 526 of the family's 1533-position model. The record is from RNAcentral.
AUUGAACGCUGGCGGCAGGCUUAACACAUGCAAGUCGAACGAGUCGCGGACGGGAGAGUUAUGCUUGGGAAUGUAGCUUAUGGAGGGGGAUAACCACGGGACACUGUCGCCAAUACCGUGUUCCAUGGGCUGCGCCUAUGUGGGUUUCGGUUGUUGGUGAGGUAAAGGCUCACCAAGCCGACGAUCUCUAGCUGGUCUGAGAGGAUGACCAGCCACACUGGGACUGAGACACGGCCCAGACUCCUACGGGAGGCAGCAGUGGGGAAUAUUGCACAAUGGGCGCAAGCCUGAUGCAGCCAUGCCGCGUGUAUGAAGAAGGCCUUCGGGUUGUAAAGUUCUUUCAGUAGGGAGGCGUUAACUACAGAAGAAGCACCGGCUAACUCCGUGCCAGCAGCCGCGGUAAUUC